GCGGGCUUAGCUCAGCUGGCUAGAGCGCUUCCUUGCCAAGGAAGAGGUCGAGGGUUCGAAUCCCUUAGCCCGCUCCA
RNAcentral lists this transfer RNA (77 nucleotides) under Deltaproteobacteria bacterium. Its description in RNAcentral is "tRNA-Gly". It matches the Rfam family "tRNA". Rfam says of the family: Transfer RNA (tRNA) molecules are approximately 80 nucleotides in length. Lineage: Bacteria; Pseudomonadati; Myxococcota; Myxococcia. The record is from RNAcentral.